Molecule: ribosomal RNA, 2300 nt
Filed under: Acinetobacter baumannii
Lineage: Bacteria; Pseudomonadati; Pseudomonadota; Gammaproteobacteria; Moraxellales; Moraxellaceae
Also listed under: 2 other names
Description: partial 23S ribosomal RNA
Rfam family: Bacterial large subunit ribosomal RNA
Source: RNAcentral
AGGUUAACCGUAUAGGGGAGCCGUAGAGAAAUCGAGUCUUAAUAGGGCGUUUAGUUGCUGGGUAUAGACCCGAAACCAGGCGAUCUAUCCAUGAGCAGGUUGAAGGUUGGGUAACACUAACUGGAGGACCGAACCCACUGUCGUUGAAAAGCCAGGGGAUGACUUGUGGAUAGGGGUGAAAGGCUAAUCAAGCCUGGUGAUAGCUGGUUCUCCCCGAAAGCUAUUUAGGUAGCGCCUCGGACGAAUACCAUAGGGGGUAGAGCACUGUUUCGGCUAGGGGGUCAUCCCGACUUACCAAACCGAUGCAAACUCCGAAUACCUAUGAGUACUAUCCGGGAGACAGACUGCGGGUGCUAACGUCCGUAGUCAAGAGGAAAACAAUCCAGACCGCCAGCUAAGGCCCCAAAAUCAUAGUUAAGUGGGAAACGAUGUGGGAAGGCAUAGACAGCUAGGAGGUUGGCUUAGAAGCAGCCACCCUUUAAAGAAAGCGUAAUAGCUCACUAGUCGAGUCGGCCUGCGCGGAAGAUGUAACGGGGCUAAAACUAUGUGCCGAAGCUGCGGAUGUAUACUUUGUAUACGUGGUAGGGGAGCGUUCUGUAAGCCGAUGAAGGUGUGUUGAGAAGCAUGCUGGAGGUAUCAGAAGUGCGAAUGCUGACGUGAGUAACGACAAAACGGGUGAAAAACCCGUUCGCCGAAAGACCAAGGGUUCCAGUCCAACGUUAAUCGGGGCUGGGUGAGUCGACCCCUAAGGCGAGGCCGAAAGGCGUAGUCGAUGGGAAAAUGGUUAAUAUUCCAUUACUUCUGUGUAAUGCGAUGAGAGGACGGAGAAGGCUAAAUCAGCCUGGCGUUGGUUGUCCAGGUGAAAGGAUGUAGGCAUGUAUCUUAGGCAAAUCCGGGGUACUCUAUGCUGAGAUCUGAUAGCAAGCUGUACUUGUACAGCGAAGUGGUUGAUGCCAUGCUUCCAGGAAAAGUCUCUAAGCUUCAGUUACACAGGAAUCGUACCCGAAACCGACACAGGUGGUCAGGUCGAGUAGACCAAGGCGCUUGAGAGAACUCUGCUGAAGGAACUAGGCAAAAUGGUACCGUAACUUCGGGAGAAGGUACGCUGUUGUUGGUGAUGGAACUCGCUUCCUGAGCUGACGACAGCCGCAGAAACCAGGCCGCUGCAACUGUUUAUUAAAAACAUAGCACUCUGCAAACACGAAAGUGGACGUAUAGGGUGUGAUGCCUGCCCGGUGCUGGAAGGUUAAUUGAUGGGGUUAGCGUAAGCGAAGCUCUUGAUCGAAGCCCCAGUAAACGGCGGCCGUAACUAUAACGGUCCUAAGGUAGCGAAAUUCCUUGUCGGGUAAGUUCCGACCUGCACGAAUGGCAUAAUGAUGGCGGCGCUGUCUCCAGCAGAGGCUCAGUGAAAUCGAAAUCGCUGUGAAGAUGCAGUGUACCCGCGGCUAGACGGAAAGACCCCGUGAACCUUUACUGCAGCUUGACACUGAACUUUGACCUUACUUGUGUAGGAUAGGUGGGAGGCUUUGAAGCUGGAACGCUAGUUCCAGUGGAGCCGUCCUUGAAAUACCACCCUGGUAAUGUUGAGGUUCUAACUCUGUCCCGUGAUCCGGGACGAGGACCGUGUCUGGUGGGUAGUUUGACUGGGGCGGUCUCCUCCUAAAGAGUAACGGAGGAGUACGAAGGUGCGCUCAGCGUGGUCGGAAAUCACGCGUAGAGUAUAAAGGCAAAAGCGCGCUUAACUGCGAGACCCACAAGUCGAGCAGGUACGAAAGUAGGUCUUAGUGAUCCGGUGGUUCUGUAUGGAAGGGCCAUCGCUCAACGGAUAAAAGGUACUCUGGGGAUAACAGGCUGAUACCGCCCAAGAGUUCAUAUCGACGGCGGUGUUUGGCACCUCGAUGUCGGCUCAUCUCAUCCUGGGGCUGAAGCAGGUCCCAAGGGUAUGGCUGUUCGCCAUUUAAAGAGGUACGCGAGCUGGGUUUAGAACGUCGUGAGACAGUUCGGUCCCUAUCUACCGUGGGCGCUGGAAAUUUGAGAGGAUCUGCUCCUAGUACGAGAGGACCAGAGUGGACGAACCUCUGGUGUACCGGUUGUGACGCCAGUCGCAUCGCCGGGUAGCUAUGUUCGGAAGGGAUAACCGCUGAAAGCAUCUAAGCGGGAAGCCUACCUCAAGAUAAGAUUUCCCUAGGACUUUAUGUCCUCUAAAGAGCCGUUCGAGACUAGGACGUUGAUAGGUUGGAUGUGGAAGCAUAGUGAUAUGUGAAGCUGACCAAUACUAAUUGCUCGUGAGGCUUGACUAU